AACGCGAAGAACCUUACCAGGGUUUGACAUCUCCGGACCGUCCAUGAAAGUGGAUUUUCCCCGCAAGGGGACUGGAAGACAGGUGUUGCAUGGUUGUCGUCAGCUCGUGUCGUGAGAUGUUGGGUUAAGUCCCGCAACGAGCGCAACCCUCACCCAAUGUUGCCAGCGUAAAGUCGGGAACUCUUUGGGAACUGCCCAUGUAAGUGGGAGGAAGGUGGGGAUGACGUCAAAUCGGCAUGGCCCUUACACCCUGGGCUUGACACAUGCUACAAUGGCCGUUAAACAGAGCGACGCAAUACCGUGAGGUGGAGCCAAUCGCAAAAAUACGGUCUCAGUUCAGAUUGCAGGCUGCAACUCGCCUGCAUGAAGUCGGAAUCGCUAGUAACCGCAGGUCAGCUAAACUGCGGUGAAUACGUUCCCGGGCCUUGUACACACCGCAUAC
Molecule: ribosomal RNA, 442 nt
Filed under: uncultured bacterium
Lineage: Bacteria
Description: bacterial SSU rRNA
Rfam family: Bacterial small subunit ribosomal RNA
Source: RNAcentral